CACAGCGGCGGCCGUUCCCGUUGCAGCUGCAGCUCUCUCCCUUCGUUCCCUUCCCUCCAGGUCCCAGAGUUCGCCCGCCAUGGCUCUACUCACUGCGGCAGCCCGGCUCUUGGGAGCCAAGAACUCAUCCUGUCUCGUCCUUGCUGCCCGGCAUGCCAGUGCUUCUUCCACGAAUUUGAAAGAGGUACUGAGCAAUCUGAUACCUAAGGAGCAAGCCAGAAUUAAGAACUUCAAACAGCAGCAUGGGAAGACAGUGGUGGGCCAAAUCACGGUGGACAUGAUGUACGGUGGCAUGAGAGGCAUGAAGGGACUUGUGUAUGAGACCUCAGUUCUUGAUCCCGAUGAGGGCAUCCGUUUCCGAGGCUAUAGUAUCCCUGAAUGCCAGAAACUGCUGCCUAAGGCUAAGGGUGGGGAAGAACCCCUGCCUGAGGGCUUGUUUUGGCUGCUGGUAACUGGACAGAUGCCCACAGAGGAACAGGUAUCUUGGCUCUCACAAGAAUGGGCAAAAAGGGCAGCUCUGCCUUCUCAUGUGGUUACCAUGCUGGACAACUUUCCCACCAACCUGCACCCCAUGUCUCAGCUCAGUGCGGCCAUCACUGCCCUCAACAGCGAGAGCAACUUCGCCCGAGCGUAUGCUGAGGGGAUGAACAGAGCCAAGUACUGGGAGCUCAUCUAUGAAGACUGUAUGGACCUGAUUGCCAAGCUACCGUGUGUUGCAGCAAAGAUCUACCGGAAUCUGUACCGGGAGGGCAGCAGUAUUGGGGCCAUUGACUCUAAACUGGACUGGUCCCACAAUUUUACCAACAUGUUAGGCUACACGGACCCUCAGUUCACAGAGCUCAUGCGUUUGUACCUCACUAUCCACAGUGACCAUGAGGGAGGUAAUGUAAGCGCCCACACAAGCCAUUUGGUGGGCAGCGCCCUUUCAGACCCUUACCUGUCCUUUGCAGCAGCCAUGAAUGGGCUGGCGGGGCCUCUACAUGGACUAGCAAAUCAGGAGGUGCUUGUCUGGCUGACACAGCUACAGAAGGAAGUUGGCAAGGACGUGUCAGAUGAGAAGUUACGAGAUUACAUCUGGAACACACUCAACUCAGGGCGGGUUGUCCCGGGAUAUGGUCAUGCAGUGCUAAGGAAGACUGAC
Grammomys surdaster is the source of this 1141-nucleotide RNA transcript. It is a transcript of the gene named citrate synthase, mitochondrial pseudogene, with no coding region annotated. NCBI's taxonomy places the organism in Eukaryota, Metazoa, Chordata, Mammalia, Rodentia, Muridae. The record is from RefSeq and is a predicted model, not a curated record. The transcript has a single exon.